RNAcentral lists this long non-coding RNA (658 nucleotides) under Pectinophora gossypiella (pink bollworm). Its description in RNAcentral is "uncharacterized LOC126372838". Lineage: Eukaryota; Metazoa; Arthropoda; Insecta; Lepidoptera; Gelechiidae. The record is from RNAcentral.
CGAAAAUGAGUUGUGAGGGAAAUCUAAUUACAUCGGAGUACUCAGUAGCUACAGUCAAAUGGCUGAAAAGUAUCCAGACUUGAUCACAGGGUUUGUUUGCCAAAAGAAGGAUACAACCCUCCAACCCUUGCUUGAUCCAGUUGACUCCCGGUGUCCAGCUGGAGAGCUCUAAGGAUGACCUGGGAAAGAUCUGCAAUACCCCUGAGAAGGUGAUAAAUCUUUGACUUUGACGUUUGCAAGUAGCCCUAAUAGCCACUGCAUCCUGAAUUGUAAUUAUGAGCCACCAAUAACAAAAAAGAUGUCUGUGACAUGGAUCCCUAAUAUUCUCUCAGAUGGUGACGAAUAAAGAAAGAAGAACCCAGGAGUAUAAAAAAUACUUACAUACAUACCUACCAUUGUGGUGCUGUACAUACAUACAUAGUCACACCACCAUACCAGGAUGGACUGAGCCAAGCACUACCAAGAAGACCAACUGCAGCCUCUUGUGAUGGACAUAAUGACCAGAGUGGUGACAGAUAAGCAACCCAUCACAAAUAUAAAUAUUUCGUUUUUCUGUGCAAGUUUUGAUGUUAUAAAUAAAAUACAAUCAAAAAGUAUUUGUAAAAAGUAUGUUUUAUUACUAGUUUAGUAGGGAACAGAAAUAAAAUAAAUAAACAAA